GUAACGGCGAGUGAAGCGGCAACAGCUCAAAUUUGAAAUCUGGCCGCAAGGUCCGAGUUGUAAUUUGCAGAGGAUGCUUUUGGCGAGGUGCCUUCCGAGUUCCCUGGAACGGGACGCCAUAGAGGGUGAGAGCCCCGUACGGUAGGACCACCGAGCCUUUGUAAAGCUCCUUCGACGAGUCGAGUAGUUUGGGAAUGCUGCUCUAAAUGGGAGGUGUACGUCUUCUAAAGCUAAAUACCGGCCAGAGACCGAUAGCGCACAAGUAGAGUGAUCGAAAGAUGAAAAGCACUUUGAAAAGAGGGUUAAAAAGUACGUGAAAUUGUUGAAAGGGAAGCAUUCAUGACCAGACUUGGGCUUGGUUGAACAUCCGGCGUUCUCGCCGGUGCACUCUGCCAGUCCAGGCCAGCAUCAGUUUGCCCCGGGGGACAAAGGCGGUGGGAAUGUGGCUCUCUCCGGGGAGUGUUAUAGCCCGCCGUGUAAUGCCCUGGGGCGGACUGAGGAACGCGCUUCGGCUCGGAUGCUGGCGUAAUGGUCAUCAAUGACCCGUCUUGAAACACGGACCAAGGAGUCGUCUUCGUAUGCGAGUGUUCGGGUGUCAAACCCCUACGCGAAAUGAAAGUGAACGUAGGUGAGAGCUUCGGCGCAUCACCGACCGAUCCUGAUGUUCUCGGACGGAUUUGA
This 681-nucleotide ribosomal RNA is filed under the name Sarocladium spinificis. RNAcentral describes it as "partial large subunit ribosomal RNA". It matches the Rfam family "Eukaryotic large subunit ribosomal RNA", at positions 83 to 793 of the family's 3401-position model. The record is from RNAcentral. Lineage: Eukaryota; Fungi; Ascomycota; Sordariomycetes; Hypocreales; Sarocladiaceae.